Molecule: unclassified non-coding RNA, 224 nt
Filed under: uncultured Gemmatimonadaceae bacterium
Lineage: Bacteria; Pseudomonadati; Gemmatimonadota; Gemmatimonadia; Gemmatimonadales; Gemmatimonadaceae
Description: contains 16S-23S intergenic spacer region
Rfam family: Bacterial small subunit ribosomal RNA
Source: RNAcentral
UGGGCUUGACAUACUGGUGCAAGCCGGUGGAAACAUCGGCCCCUCUUCGGAGCGCCAGCACAGGUGCUGCAUGGCUGUCGUCAGCUCGUGUCGUGAGAUGUUGGGUUAAGUCCCGCAACGAGCGCAACCCUCGCUCCCAGUUGCCAGCGGUUCGGCCGGGGACUCUGGGGGGACUGCCGGCGUUAAGCCGGAGGAAGGUGGGGAUGACGUCCAGGAACACCAAC